GCGUUGGUGGUUUAGUGGUAAAAUUGGCCGUUGCCAUCUGAUUGGUUCAAAUCCCAGUCAUGUAACAUCGGCCAGCCCCGGGUUCGAUUCCCGGCCGACGCA
Non-coding RNA from Saccharata proteae CBS 121410, 102 nucleotides. The record is from the annotation of a GenBank genome assembly. NCBI's taxonomy places the organism in Eukaryota, Fungi, Ascomycota, Dothideomycetes, Botryosphaeriales, Saccharataceae.